ACCAGACUCCUACGGGAGGCAGCAGUGAGGAAUAUUGGUCAAUGGACGGAAGUCUGAACCAGCCAUGCCGCGUGCAGGAAGACGGCUCUAUGAGUUGUAAACUGCUUUUGUACAAGGGUAAACCUGAAUACGUGUAUUCAGCUGAAAGUACUGUACGAAUAAGGACCGGCUAAUUCCGUGCCAGCAGCCGCGGUAAUACGGAAGGUCCGGGCGUUAUCCGGAUUUAUUGGGUUUAAAGGGAGCGUAGGCCGGUCUUUAAGCGUGCCGUGAAAUUUUGUGGCUCAACCAUGAGAGUGCGGCGCGAACUGGAGACCUUGAGUGCGCGGAAGGCAGGCGGAAUUCGUGGUGUAGCGGUGAAAUGCAUAGAUAUCACGCAGAACUCCGAUUGCGAAGGCAGCAUACCGGCGCUCAACUGACGCUCAUGCACGGAAGUGUGGGUAUCGAACAGGAUUAGAUACCCCUGUA
This 465-nucleotide ribosomal RNA is filed under the name uncultured bacterium. Its description in RNAcentral is "bacterial SSU rRNA". It matches the Rfam family "Bacterial small subunit ribosomal RNA", at positions 330 to 792 of the family's 1533-position model. The record is from RNAcentral.